CCUACGGGGGGCAGCAGUGGGGAAUAUUGGGCAAUGGGCGCAAGCCUUACCCAGCAAUACCGCGUGAGUGAAGAAGGUCUUCGGAUUGUAAAGCUCUUUGAUCAGGGACGAACAGAUGACGGUACCUGAAGAACAAGCCCCGGCUAACUACGUGCCAGCAGCCGCGGUAAUACGUAGGGGGCAAGCGUUAUCCGGAUUUACUGGGUGUAAAGGGGGCGCAGACGGCAGCGCAAGCCAGGAGUGAAAGCCCGGGGCCCAACCCCGGGACUGCUCUUGGAACUGCGCGGCUGGAGGGC
Molecule: ribosomal RNA, 296 nt
Filed under: uncultured bacterium
Lineage: Bacteria
Description: partial 16S ribosomal RNA
Rfam family: Bacterial small subunit ribosomal RNA
Source: RNAcentral